AUACGUAGGGGGCAAGCGUUAUCCGGAUUUACUGGGUGUAAAGGGAGUGUUGGACGGCACUGCAAGUCUGGAGUGAAAGCCCGGGGCUCAACCCCGGGACUGCUUUGGAAACUGUGGUGCUAGAGUGCAGGAGAGGUAAGUGGAAUUCCUAGUGUAGCGGUGAAAUGCGUAGAUAUUAGGAGGAACACCAGUGGCGAAGGCGGCUUACUGGACUGUAACUGACGUUGAGGCUCGAAAGCGUGGGGAGC
This 248-nucleotide ribosomal RNA is filed under the name uncultured bacterium. RNAcentral describes it as "partial 16S ribosomal RNA". It matches the Rfam family "Bacterial small subunit ribosomal RNA", at positions 523 to 769 of the family's 1533-position model. The record is from RNAcentral.